GUGUUUCCCUUCGGCUCAAUAUUGCUCACGCACGCAAUUUUUUUUAUCACUAUAAUAACAACAACAACAACAAUAACACAAAAAACGGAGGAAAAAUCAGUCGCUCAUCGAGACCGCAAGAAGUUCAAAUUAACAGAUUGCAGACUCUUGGUCCAGUUAUGUUUUAUAUGAUAUGAUCAAUGUGAUCUAAGGAGCAAUUAAAUAAUAAUGCGAAUUGAUCGAGCUGCAAAAGUGCAAUUAUAAAAUUCCGCUUUCUCGCACCCAUGGAGAAGCUUGGAAACACAUGGUAAUAAUUGUAACACUCAGUGGAUGACGAUCAACUAUUGCUGGGGACCUGUAGAGGAUCAACUCUUGCUCGGUACAGGAGUAACAUCUGCAUGAGUCGUUCGUCCUUGUCUUUUUGUCUUGAGGGGAGUUAGUCGCAUUUAUUUUUACCUUUCUUUGUGUAAUGCACAUCAAUCUUGAAAUUUGUAGAAGAAGUUACGUCCAGGUACAAGUUUUUU
This is a long non-coding RNA of Leptopilina heterotoma, 503 nucleotides long. RefSeq lists it as uncharacterized. The record is from RefSeq and is a predicted model, not a curated record. The transcript has 3 exons. NCBI's taxonomy places the organism in Eukaryota, Metazoa, Arthropoda, Insecta, Hymenoptera, Figitidae.